RNAcentral lists this long non-coding RNA (1101 nucleotides) under Mus musculus (house mouse). RNAcentral describes it as "long non-coding RNA chr16:32152178-32153279". Lineage: Eukaryota; Metazoa; Chordata; Mammalia; Rodentia; Muridae. The record is from RNAcentral.
UGUAUUAUGACAAAUAACUCAGCAGGAAUGUGAACAAAAGUUUCCGGGAUUGUGUGUUAUUUCCAUUCAGUAUGUUAAAUUUACUAGGGCAGCUAAUUUGUCAAAAAGUCUUUUUCAGUAUAUGUUACAGAAUUGGAUGGCUGAAUUUAAACAGAUCCUUCGAGAAUUGAGACUUCAGGUCAACUCCACGCGCUUGGACCUGUCGCUGACCAAAGGAUUACCCAAUUGGAUCUCCUCAGCAUUUUCUUUCUUUAAAAAAUUGGGUGGGAUUAAUAUUAUUUGGAGAUACACUUUGCUGUGGAUUAGUGUUGCUUCUUUGAUUGGUCUGUAAGCUUAAGGCCCAAACUAAGAGAGACAAGGUGGUUAUUGCCCAGGCGCUUGCAGGACUAGAACAUGGAGCUUCCCCUGAUAUAUCUAUGCUUAAGCAAUAGGUCGCUGGCCACUCAGCUCUUAUAUCUCACGAGGCUAGUCUCAUUGCACGAGAUAGAGUGAGUGUGCUUCAGCAGCCCGAGAGAGUUGCAAGGCUAAGCACUGCAAUGGAAAGGCUCUGCGGCAUAUAUGAGCCUAUUCUAGGGAGACAUGUCAUCUUUCAUGAAGGUUCAGUGUCCUAGUUCCCUUCCCCCAGGCAAAACGACACGGGAGCAGGUCAGGGUUGCUCUGGGUAAAAGCCUGUGAGCCUAAGAGCUAAUCCUGUACAUGGCUCCUUUACCUACACACUGGGGAUUUGACCUCUAUCUCCACUCUCAUUAAUAUGGGUGGCCUAUUUGCUCUUAUUAAAAGAAAAAGGGGGAACUGUGGGAAGCCGCCCCCACAUUCGCCGUCACAAGAUGGCGCUGACAUCCUGUGUUCUAAGUUGGUAAACAAAUAAUCUGCGCAUGAGCCAAGGGUAUUUACGACUACUUGUACUCUGUUUUUCCCGUGAACGUCAGCUCGGCCAUGGGCUGCAGCCAAUCAGGGAGUGAUGCGCCCUAGGCAAUGGUUGUUCUCUUUAAAAUAGAAGGGGUUUCGUUUUUCUCUCUCUCUUGCUUUUCUCUCUCUCUUGCUUCUUGCUCUCUUGCUUCUUGCUCUCUUUUCCUGAAGAUGUAAGAAUAAAGCUUUGCC